Molecule: ribosomal RNA, 253 nt
Filed under: uncultured bacterium
Lineage: Bacteria
Also listed under: 1 other name
Description: partial 16S ribosomal RNA
Rfam family: Bacterial small subunit ribosomal RNA
Source: RNAcentral
GACAGAGGGUGCAAACGUUGUUCGGAAUUACUGGGCGUAAAGCGCGUGUAGGCGGCUUGGCAAGUCGGGUGUGAAAGCCCUGGGCUCAACCUAGGAAGUGCACUCGAAACUGCCUCGCUUGAAUGCCGGAGAGGAAAGCGGAAUUCUCGGUGUAGAGGUGAAAUUCGUAGAUAUCGAGAGGAACACCGGUGGCGAAGGCGGCUUUCUGGACGGUGAUUGACGCUGAGACGCGAAAGCGUGGGGAGCAAACAGG